CUGCAGCUCAAGUGGUGAUCAUUAUUAUUGGGCCUAAAACGUCCGUAGCCGGUUUAGUAAAUGCCUGGGUAAAUCGUGUAGCUUAACUAUACGACUUCCGGGUAGACUGCUAAACUUGAGACCGGGAGAGGCUAGAGGUACUCCUGGGGUAGAGGUGAAAUUCUGUAAUCCUAGGGGGACCACCAGUGGCGAAGGCGUCUAGCUAGAACGGGUCUGACGGUGAGGAACGAAGCCCUGGGGCGCAAACCGGAUUAGAUACCCGAGUAGUCC
Molecule: ribosomal RNA, 270 nt
Filed under: uncultured archaeon
Lineage: Archaea
Description: partial 16S ribosomal RNA
Rfam family: Archaeal small subunit ribosomal RNA
Source: RNAcentral